AUGGAGCCGCGCGUGGGUAACAAGUACCGCCUCGGCCGCAAGCUCGGCAGCGGCUCGUUCGGGGAGAUCUACCUCGGUACUAACGUGCAGACCAACGAGGAGGUCGCGAUUAAGCUUGAAAAUGUGAAGACAAAGCAUCCUCAGUUGCUGUAUGAGUCAAAGUUGUACAGGGUACUGCAGGGCGGAACUGGGAUUUCAAAUGUCAAGUGGUUUGGUGUUGAGGGUGACUACAAUGUUCUUGUUAUGGAUGUGUUGGGGCCAAGCCUUGAAGAUCUUUUCAGCUUUUGCAACAGAAAACUGUCGCUCAAAACUGUUCUGAUGCUUGCUGAUCAAAUGAUCAACCGAGUUGAAUUUAUACAUUCAAAGUCCUUCUUGCAUCGAGAUAUAAAGCCAGACAAUUUUCUCAUGGGCCUUGGAAAGAGAGCAAAUCAGGUAUAUAUGAUUGACUUUGGACUGGCAAAGAAAUACAGGGACACGUCAACACACCAGCACAUUCCAUACCGGGAGAACAAAAAUUUGACUGGGACAGCUCGAUAUGCGAGUGUAAGCACCCAUCUCGGAAUUGAACAAAGCAGAAGGGAUGACAUGGAGUCUCUUGGAUAUGUACUCAUGUACUUCUUGAGAGGAAGUCUCCCAUGGCAGGGUUUAAAAGCCGGUACGAAGAAACAGAAGUAUGAGAAAAUCAGUGAACGGAAGGUUGCCACUUCAAUUGAGGCUUUGUGUCGUGGAUACCCUUCUGAAUUUCAGUCAUUCUUCCAUUACUGCCGCUCACUGCGUUUUGAAGACAGUCCAGACUAUCAAUAUCUGAAGAGAUUGUUCAGAGAUCUUUUUAUUCGAGAGGGAUUCCAGUUUGAUUAUGUUUUUGACUGGACCAUUCUUAAAUACCAGCAGUCACAAAUGACCAGUGUUCCACGACGGGCUAUUCCCGCUGCCGCAGGACAAAGCUCGGGGAUGGCUCCAAUUGCAAGUAAUAAUAGACUGUCAGUGGAGCAGGGUCGUAAACUGUUUCCCGUUAUCUUGCUUAGGAGUAGCACACAUCCUGUUUCAGCCACCGAAGAGGGAAGAAGAAGUGGGUGGUCAGAUGAUCCUACACGACGUCAGGUUCCACCUACAGGAAUAAAUGCAGGCAGCUUAUCGAAACAGAAGUCACCAGUUAGACCAGAUGUGUCCGCACCGAAGGAAGCUGUGUUGUCCAGUUCGACUUUUUUGGGUCGGUCAGGCGUGUCCUCAAGGCGACCUGCUGUUUCUAGUAGCCGAGAUUUGCCAAGCAGUGAGGCUGAACCAUCGCGUAGUCGUGCACCAGACGUGAGUCCAGGGACGUUCCAGAGAAACUCAGCCCCACGGAGGACCUCACAGACGCUUGACUACUCUGACCCCAGGCACAAGUCUAACAGCAACAACUACGAGUCCACUAUAAGGGGCAUCCGAGGCCUAAAUUUCAAUGCCAACGAUAGGAUCCACUACUAG
This 1467-nucleotide ribosomal RNA is filed under the name Triticum aestivum (bread wheat). Its description in RNAcentral is "partial small subunit ribosomal RNA". The record is from RNAcentral. Lineage: Eukaryota; Viridiplantae; Streptophyta; Magnoliopsida; Poales; Poaceae.